Molecule: non-coding RNA, 1244 nt
Organism: Salmo salar (Atlantic salmon)
Lineage: Eukaryota; Metazoa; Chordata; Actinopteri; Salmoniformes; Salmonidae
Source: RefSeq, a predicted model, not a curated record
GGGUUUGGCCGGGGUAGGUCGCCAGUGUAAAUAAUAUAUUAUCAUUAACUUACUUGCCUAUUUAAAUAAAGGUUAAAUUAAAAAAAAAAUGUGCGAGGGAGAACCCUGGAGCUGAGCGUGUCCUCCAUAGCACAGUAAGAGCCUAUUUAUGCUUUAUCCAAAACGUGUUCGGAGGCACGGUAUGGAUGGUGUGACGCAAUUGCGAAGUCUCUGGAGGCAGGCAGAGGCCAAAUUGAGCUCUGUAAUGUUCGCCGUGCGCUUCUCAAAUGUUGUAACGAUGCGGAGGGCUCUGUACAGCAACGCAUUGACAUGAUUGGUUAACGGUAAGUGGGGGCGGGAGGUCCUGUAUAAACACAAACUCACUUCCUUGACAACUUCCUUCACAACAGCUCAACAGAAAAACAGCUCUGCGAAGCGCAAUAAUUAUAAAUGCCCAGACUUCUGCAGUGGCCAUAUCACGGUAAAUGCUGCACGACCAAUUGCAGACGUCAGAAUGACCACGCAGCCCCUUUAAUGGGGGAGGGAGCCGUUACUCCACUUUGACACAGAGAUUCUGGACCCUUAUUUAAACAUCCUUCCUGUCUGCGACGGAAGGCCAGAGCGAAUGGCCGGCCACCUGACCCCUUCGUGGAGCGACUCCACUUCCUGUUCCCCUGACCUUUAAACCUGAGGUCAACACCUCUGGACUUACCACUUAAGCAGCAAGAUGGCUUCCUUGGCGCUUCCAUCGUUGCGCAUUCAGAUGUGUGUGUCGCUUGGUAGCACAGCAUGAAAAGCUAUGAUCACGUUUGGGCAAACGCCCAUGAAUAGGGACGGCUGGACGACGGGACUCCCUCUGAAUACAGAGUUGGGGGGGCUGGCCGCCACUGCCACGGGACACUGCACACAUGUGUGGGACUGGUUGGCCACACUCCAGUUACGUGAGUGUGUGUGCGCGCACACACCCCUCACUGUUAUGACGGCCAAUAUUACCCACCCCUCCCAACUCUCAUACACACAUGCACUUUAUGUGCCACAUACACAUGUUCCCUGUCACAAGCACACUCACACUCUGUCCCCCACACACUCGCUCUCUUUCUCUCUCUCCGUUGGUGAAAAAGUGCAUUGGAGGGGAGGAAAAAAAGCAACAAAGUUCCUGCAGAGCCGGAGAGGUCACAGCAACAACACCCAAUCCCAGCUCUGUUCCCAUGGAGACAAGUGUGCUAGUAUACAAUGGGGGAGGAGCAGGAGGGAGUGGAGGGGAG